RNAcentral lists this long non-coding RNA (440 nucleotides) under Malus domestica (apple). Its description in RNAcentral is "long non-coding RNA (MDOM_LNC005083)". Lineage: Eukaryota; Viridiplantae; Streptophyta; Magnoliopsida; Rosales; Rosaceae. The record is from RNAcentral.
CCAAACACCACCAAAUUGUCUCAAAAACUACCUAAACUUAGUUCUAAGCACAAUCUAUGAAGAUUUAGAGUUGUUAUCUAGCUUACCUUAUUGGAAAACUGUGAGAACUCACCAGAUUUACUUUUUGCACGGUGAAUGUAUUGUGCAACGAGGGAGAAAGAAAAAGUGAGAGUUUCUCGUCAUUAUGGGCUCGUAGAUCUCAUAGAGGAGGAAAUGGUGGUGGUGUGGUGGUCUCCGAAUGGAGAAAGGCCGAUAAGGUGGUCUCGAUAGGUGAUCUCGAUAAGGGUUUGAGGUAUGGGUGAGAGAGAGACAAUGAGAGAGAGUGAGAAGUGUUCUAGAGAGGAAGAGAACACGACAGAGAAGAAGAAGGGCACCUAGAAAUAGGGAGGUGCCAAUUGUCAACCAUGUAGAGGUCUAAAGUAGAGAAAUAUCUCUACUGG